GAUGAACGCUAGCUACAGGCUUAACACAUGCAAGUCGAGGGGCAUCAGGAAGAAAGCUUGCUUUCUUUGCUGGCGACCGGCGCACGGGUGAGUAACACGUAUCCAACCUGCCCUUUACUCGGGGAUAGCCUUUCGAAAGAAAGAUUAAUACCCGAUAGCAUAAUGAUUCCGCAUGGUUUCAUUAUUAAAGGAUUCCGGUAAAGGAUGGGGAUGCGUUCCAUUAGGUUGUUGGUGAGGUAACGGCUCACCAAGCCUUCGAUGGAUAGGGGUUCUGAGAGGAAGGUCCCCCACAUUGGAACUGAGACACGGUCCAAACUCCUACGGGAGGCAGCAGUGAGGAAUAUUGGUCAAUGGGCGUUAGCCUGAACCAGCCAAGUAGCGUGAAGGAUGAAGGCUCUAUGGGUCGUAAACUUCUUUUAUAUAAGAAUAAAGUGCAGUAUGUAUACUGUUUUGUAUGUAUUAUAUGAAUAAGGAUCGGCUAACUCCGUGCCAGCAGCCGCGGUAAUACGGAGGAUCCGAGCGUUAUCCGGAUUUAUUGGGUUUAAAGGGAGCGUAGGUGGACUGGUAAGUCAGUUGUGAAAGUUUGCGGCUCAACCGUAAAAUUGCAGUUGAUACUGUCAGUCUUGAGUACAGUAGAGGUGGGCGGAAUUCGUGGUGUAGCGGUGAAAUGCUUAGAUAUCACGAAGAACUCCGAUUGCGAAGGCAGCUCACUGGACUGCAACUGACACUGAUGCUCGAAAGUGUGGGUAUCAAACCAGG
RNAcentral lists this ribosomal RNA (759 nucleotides) under uncultured bacterium. RNAcentral describes it as "bacterial SSU rRNA". It matches the Rfam family "Bacterial small subunit ribosomal RNA", at positions 28 to 777 of the family's 1533-position model. The record is from RNAcentral.